AUGAACCAGCUCACCGGCCCGAUACCAGCAUCCUUCUCGUGCAUCAGCAGCGUCGAGCAGCUCAACCUGGGCGGGAACCGCCUCUACGGCCAGGUACCAGACGUGCUUUGCAAGCUCGCUGGCCCGGCCGGCCGCCUCGCCAACCUCACGCUAGCUGUCCGGCAACUAUUUCAGAUCGGUGGCGCCGGCAUGCGCGGCGCUAAUCAAAGACGGCGUGCUGGACGUGAAGAACAACUGCAUUCCAGGCCUCGCCAACCAGAGGCGCCCGGCGGAGUGCGCGGCGUUCCAGAGCCAGCCCAAGACGUGCCCGGCGGCGACCACUCAGGUGGCAUGUCCCGCCGCACCUGCCGCCGCGCCGGGGGAGAGGAAUGUCAUCAGGGACUACUCCGGCUACGUGACGUACGCUACUCUGCAUGAUUGAGGCGCCACGGGAUGCACUAGGAGACAUAGUGGAUGCCUAGGUGGUAUUUUGGCUUUUUGCCCUUGUAUCCUUGUGUUUUUAAUUAGUGUGUUGGUGUGCAUGUGUGUUGUUCGUGUUCCUAUGUAUGUGCGGCUGUCACGUCUAGAUUUCACUUCUUGUACUACCAAAUCUAUUGUUAAAAUAAAAAAAGGAAAAUCUAUAUUUUUCUCGAGUGUUUUGGAGCUUGCCAAAAAUAGAUUUUCAAGUCUGCAAGUUGGUGCUGCGAUUGGCCAAGAUCGUCUUCCCAACUCCUUUGAGGACUCCAGCGAGUUUAGGAUUUGGGACGAGUCCUUGCAUCGGCACACAAUUACCUAUGGGUGUGCAGGUGUACCUUUGUUCGAUGUGUUUCUCAUUCCCAACGACUGGAUGAACAAGAGCACCGGUCCCAGUUCCCCACAGUCACCGUCAUCCCAGCCUCGUUUGCGUGCCUGUGCAACGUCGAUCGAGCAGCACCUGGCUGGAAAACGCCCUUUACUGUGACGAGUUAGAUUGCGGGCGGGCUGGACAUGGACUUGCGCAUGACUAGCCAGCGGACCUCUCGCUGUUGAGCAACUACAUCACGUUGGUAAGGCCAAUGCAAAGUGCUCUAGCUCUGCGCUGAGCCUCUGAUGAAGAAGGGGUAUGGCAGUGCAGUGAAUCAAGAAGAACAACAGCCUCAUGCGUUCCGAGCUGCAAUCAGAGGCGGCCCGAUCUGGAGCGCGUGUGUCGUUCAUGCGACAGCCGAUCGAGUAGGUGCCCCCCGAGCCCCGACGUACGUGCCAUGCGGCGUCGCAUGUGUCACGGACGGGGGCUGGUCGUGCGGAGGUAGGUACGUAGGGCUCGUCCACAUUCCAGCUGCGCUACGUGACAUAUGCAACUCCGGAUGAGUGAGAUCCACAGGGAUUCAAGGAAAUCAAGGACCGCGCGGCGCGCGUCUUGGUCGCAUUUGCUGUGCUCUCGCUCUCAUGUAAGUGCCGUCGGUGCUUUUGUUGGUUCCACUGCAUGCCCGGACCCGUUUUUGGCUGUUCUGCGGGCCGGGUUGAUCUCGCCGGCAAGACCCAUGUGAUGAAUUCCUACCUGUUUCUUACACUAGUUCACUUUGAUAUUGUUUGAAAUCAAACUUUGUUUAAUUGACUUUUGAUUGGGUUUAUAGCUAGGAAAAAUUAUGAUAACAUCUACAAUACAAAAUAAAUUUACUAUCAAGAAUACGGAUUAAUGACACAAUGUGUAUUUGUAGAUGUUGAUACUUUUCUAUAAAUUUGGUAAAAGUUAUAAAUAUUUAGCUUCGAAUGAUACCAAAAUUUACUAUAAUAUAUCAAAGGAGUAUCCUGGCAAUUUCUUGUGUUUUAUUUGGUUCCAACAAGAUUGGCCAGACAACUCUAACAUAAAACAAGUAUUAUUUGAGUAUGUGGACAGCUCUAGCAGUUAGGUUCUUUCUGAUAGAACUUGCCUACCCGAUUUCAAUUACUUAUUUUGUACAAUUAUUCUUUAAAUAGUAUGCGACAUGCCUGUUGAGGUCUUCAGGACCGUUGGUCUCCAUUAGGGGCAAUUGGAAGGAAGCGCCUAGGCUAGACUUUGAAUCUUCAGCUCAUUGGUUGUCCCGGGCUACAUGAUAUUCAGAUUGAAUAUCACCUGUAAGGCUUUCCUCUCGGUCCUGCCUAGUCUCAGGGAAAAUACCUCUGUUAUCAUUGGUAAUGGGGCUUUCACCUCUCCUUCUGGCAUGAUCACUGGAUUGGGUCUGCGCCUCUUGCGGCGGCAAUGCCAGCUCUGUUCUCCCAUGCUCAGCGACCCAACAUCUCCAUUCAAAGGGUGGCUGCGAUGGGCAGUGGGAUCUCCAGCUUACCGGUCACCGGCUGUCCUCCAUUACGCAACAGGAAGCCUCCUCUCUCAUGGUGGCUCUGCAAACUGUUCAGCUGCUGCCACUGGCUCGCGAUCGGCGACUCAUAUACUCCACCAGGCUGCUCUAUCGAGCCUUGUCACCGUCGGUGCCGCCGGAAACAUUCCUGCCACUCAUCUGGGACAGCUUUGCUCCAAGCAGUUCCUCUGGCUAGCUCAUCCACCGCCAUCGACUCUCGACUGCAGCACUGCUCUUCUACCGGAAUAUCAUCGACUCUGAAGCUUGUCUACACUGUGGGCAGCAAGAAGACCUGCACUCUUCCUUGGCUGCACAAAGGCCUCUGCUUGCUGGACGCUACUGGGAGCAGGCGACCUCAUGUCUCACUCCGUUGAGCAACUAUGGCAGCAGCACCUCCUGGCAAUGUUGGAUGCCCCUAUCAGGUCAACCAUCAUCACCUGCAUUCUUUGGAACAUAUGGAAAGCCCGAAACGCGCGCGUCUUUGAGCACACCGACAUCAACCCACCAGGGAUCCUCCGUCGCACGGCCGCGGACCUGCAGCUUUGGUCUCACCGUGUGCCACCAUCAUCACUACGAUUCUGGAGCGACAAGAUUGUGCAUGUAAUAGAAUGAUUUGUGUUGUAAUCCCUCACCCUUCUUACCUUCCCAAAUCCCCUGUAUGCCUCAAACUUUUGCAUACUUAAUAUAAAUGUUGAGGUCGGUGAUUUGCCUGCCGUAGGUUCCUAAAAAAAAUAUUCAGAUUGAACUACUAGGUCGCCUUCACAUGACGGCCUCCUUCUCCCUCUAAAGGCCAGUAGCCCAGUAAUGACAUCUACCCUUGUUGCUCCCUUGUCCAGUGCCCCCUCACAUCUCUUCUCCUCUCUCUCUGUGGCUCCCUGACCCCCGCCGUCCAUAGCCGCACGCAGCACGCCGCCCUGAGGUCAACUGAAUCGCAUCCGGGUCGGUUUCUUCUAAAAAAAUUGGAUUUCAAAACUUUCAAUGUUGGACUUCACAAAUUUACCACUUUGAAGAUGGACUUCGUAACUUUACCACUUAUCUCACGAACAACUUGAUUUCCCUACCAAUUUUCCUCUUACUAGUCCACCAACCCGUGCUCCCGCACGGGCUAAUGUUUUUAGAAGUUAUUGUAUUUAAAAAUUAUUUAGAAAUUAAACUCCUAGCUAAUAAUCAAAAUUGUUUACCUAGUGCUCUCUUAUUUUUCAAUAUUUCAACAUAAUACUUAUAUAGAUAUGUACCUAUCUUUGUCCAGUUGUGAUUGGUUUUUAAUUAAUAAUUACUCAAUGCACUUUUUCAUCCAUAUUCAUAUUUUUUCCAUUUUGUAUGACACCUCCAAUCCUCCAUACAUUAUGUUUAGCAUACAAAUCAAUAUUUUUCAUCGAUUCCUCACAUACAUAUAUAAAUGGUCUAAAUGGUGGCACUCAUCAUGUGUAUAUACUUUAACUUAGUAUUUUUAUAUUAACAAUGACAUAAAUAGCUAAUUUAAAAUCAUAUAUUAAUUUACUUUUUGAUAUUUCUGUAUGAUACACAUGAAGAUAAUUAGAUUAAGAUUUAGGUGUUUACUUUAGGUUAUUUUUAAUAACGACAUACGUGGAUAACAUAGAUAAAAUUUUAGAAUGACAUUUUAAGUUAUACUUUAUAAUGAUGUGUAUUAGUAAAUUGGAUGAAGGUUAUGGAGUUACUUUAGAUUAUUUUUUAUAAUAGCUAAGCUUGGUAAUUGAAAUAUAGGUUUAGAGCUCGUUUUUGAAUAUUUUCACAAUAAUAGUGGUGGGUAACUUUUUAGAAAAUAUAAUAGUGUUUGAUAUUUUUAAUUUUUAUUAGAAUUUGUCUCUUUUUUCUAGCUUGUCUCAUGGGAACUAACACGGAGGCAACCCAUGGUCCCGCACGGGCUAAUAUUUUUUAAAUAUAUUGUAUUUAAAAAUUAUUUAGAAAUUAAACUCCUAGCUAAUAAUUAAAAUUGUUUAAUUACUACUCUCUUAUUUUUCAAUACUUGAAGAUAAUAUAUGUCAUCGCUAGAUUAAAAAUUAUGGACUAUAUGUUUUUCUUGAUUAAGUUAGGUUAUUAUUUUAGGGGGAUGUAAUAUUAUCUCGAUAGAUGGCUACAUAGAUUAAAAAUUAUGGUUUGCCGGUGAAUGAAUAAAAUGUUGUAUUGGAAGACUUAUUCAUUGUGUGAAUGUUGAGACGAUCCAAGGUGUCUACCUAUCGACAGCCCACAGGAACUUGUCACAUUUAAAAUAGAAAGAAAGCAGGGUGCUAGGAACUUGUCGCAUUUAAAAUAGAAAGAAAGCAGGGUGCUGUACAGUUGUGUUUUCUCCUUUUCCCCAUUCAUCAGAUCACGGAUAGGCAUAGGUGAAGAUAUCAGCGGCUGGUGCAGGUGUGCUCUGUGUUAUCUCGCCUGGCAUUUGUCGUAUGAUUCACUAAUCACCCGUCCUGAUUUCCUACGGUCGGCUCCUCGUAGCGGUCGCUGGCACUUGUGCGGAUCUGAAAAGUCAGGUUUUGGAGAGUUGCUGCUGUAGCCGUCGUUCUUAUGGAUUUCCGAUUCGUCCUCAAGGAUUCGCUUCACAGGUACCUUUUCUCUCUUCUUUUCUUCUGUAUUAUUGAAUCGCAACCUGCGGUUUAUACUGAAUUAUUGCUGAACUGGUAAAUUUUUAUGCUAAUUUUUCCCGAAAGAUUAGCCAUGCAUCUAGCGGCACACCUUUUUUUUCUCUCUCAUUCGAUUUGGCUUGCUGCGGCCAAAACAGAGUCCGGUUUUUUACCCCUUUGAAAUUUCUUAUUCGUAGCUGUGUAUUACACUGUUUGGAUCUCUCCUAUGGUCUAAUAAAUUCACAUCUUCAUUAAUAUUGUACAAAUACCACUGUACACUGAUUGCACCUAUAAUAUUUGUACUUCUUCCAAGGUGGGUGUGUGGUUGAAUUUCUACUAAUACUUUUGCUGGACAUCUUCUAUCAGUUUAUAUCACUGCAUAAUAGAUUUAAGUAAUAUUAUAGGUUCAGCUAAUUUGUGUGAAGAGAAACAUGAAACACGUGAUUUUGUAUGUGGUACUUUGAAGGGCUGAACUACAUUACGUUGUGAAGGCAGAGGUACAUAGUGUGCUACAGAAUUUCCUUGUAGACUAUAUUUUUUGCCAUAUUAUCUUCUGGAGAUUCUUCAUCUGAUAUCAGAAUCUUAAGGCCUUCUCUGCUUGUAACGCGAGACACUGCAACAUACAGCUGUCCAUGUGUGAAGACUUGCUUUGGUAAAUAGAGUCCAACAUUUUUUAGUGACUGUCCCUGGCUUUUGUUUAUUGUCAUUGCAAAGCAUACAGUUAUUGGAUAUUGCCUUCUUUUCAACACAAAUGGCCAUUUUGAUUCGGUUGGUGACAUGAUGAUUCGUGGGAUGUAGACCUUAUUUCCAAUGUUUGUCCCAGUUAUGAUUUGUGCUUCGAUGAACCACUUCCCUAGUUGUGUUAUGGUCAACCUCGUGCCAUUGCAUAGGCCUGCACUUUGAUUGAUGUUCCUUAGCAGCAUUAUUGGUAGCCCAACUUUCAAUUGUAAUUUAUGAUUUGGUAUUCCAGGGAAUUUUAAGCUAUUGAGGAACUCUGUUGGAUACAACUGAUCUUCACUUUCUUUUGUUGAGAUGGCUUUGCAUACUGUAUCUGAGCUUAGGUAUGUUGUUUCUUCACCUGGUAUUUGACUCAUUAUGUAAGAGUUUAUGUUGUCCACCAUCUCAUUUCUUGGGCAUAGUAUCGCUCUUUCUUCUAGGUAUGUUCUGUUACUGUAGUUCCUUGAUAGAUCAGGGUAUGUGUUGUUUACAAUUGUCUCCAAUUCAUCCUCUCCUUUCUGUAAAAUCAAGUCUUGUGGUAUUGUUAUCCAAGCUUCAUCAUCUUUAUCUCCUGCUAAGCCGUCUCCAAUGCUUAAUAUCCAAUCUGCAAAUUCCUGUAUCUUCUUCUUUUCUUCUGUUGAAUUUGUAACUGCAGUUAGGCGCAUAUUUGUUGUGAGCUUAAUUUCUUCAAAGUGCUUCCAUAAGUAUGAUCGCUUUAAGGAUGCAUCAAUAAUAUGAGUUCUUCUUCCUUUUGGUAUGACUGGCAAAGUUUGUCUGAAAUCACCCCCCAUUACUAUUGUCAUCCCUCCAAAUGGCUUGUCUUUGCUAUUCUCAUCUGUAAAUCUUAGGAUGUCUCUCAAGCUCUUGUCUAGUGCCUCAAAGCAGUGUUUGUUUGUCAUAGGGGCCUCAUCCCAUAAUAUCAGUGAUGUCUUGUUUAAAAGUUCUGCUAGUAAUGAUCCCUGCUUGAUAUCACACGUUGACUCGUUAUUUAUGUUCAGUGGGAUGUGAAACCGUGAAUGUGCGGUUCUUCCUCCUGGUAAUAGAAGUGCUGCUAUACCACUUGAGGCCACGGCUAAAACUAUUUUUCCUUCAGAUCUUAGGGAUUUUGUUAUAGCCUUCCAAAGAAAUGUCUUCCCCGUUCCACCAUAUCCAUUGACAAAUAUAAGUUUGCCAAGUUUACUGUUAACUGAUUGUGUUAUUGCAUCAAAAGCUUUCCUUUGAUCAAGAUUUAAUUUCUGUAGUAGCUCCACACACUCUUUUUGGAGAGAAUUUCUGUCAUAGUUUAGCUCCUCAUUCAGCAACCUAUUUCUCAGACCCUGCAUGACAGUGUUGUCUGGUAGUGGCAUUCCAUUAAAGUCUUUUAGAGAUUUUCCACCUUUUCUUAGCAACUGCUCUAUCUCUAUUAGUGUAAGCUUCUUCUUUUGUUCUGGUUGUAGAUGUAAUCUUUCAAAGUUCAUGAACCUCCUUUGGUGCCUCUCGAUGUCCUCAGAAAGUAGUUCCCAAUUUGAUUCCCACAGUUUCAGAGGGUCCGUGACCUCACAGAAUAGCAAUAUCGUGCAGAAAAGUUGUCGCAUCUGGGUUGCGGAAGCCCAAAAUGAAGCCUCUUUGAUGCAAUCGUCCCACUCAUUGUCAUCAUCUAGUAAACCAAGGGCGUAACACGUUGAUUUGUAGGUUUUGUGGAUAACACCAUCCACUUUUCUGAUGUCUUUGAAUGACUUGCAUCCUUUCACAAUGUUCAGCAGUAUUCUCAAGUAGUACCUAUCUCCACUUGCAGGAUGGGCAUAAUAGAUCCUGCCUAUGGAUCUUUUUCCACCACGUCUCGGCUUCUAUUCCUUUUCUUUUGGGUGCCAUGUCCACUUAGUUGGAAAUUCUGCAUAUGUUAGUUCACGGGCAUCUUCAUGCAACCGAUUAGCUACGUGAUUUGGUUUUGAGUCCUAUAAAAUGUGGAGUUGUUUAGUUAGUUUGUAGAUAAAAUAUCUACGUGAUUUGGUUUUGAGUCCUAUAAAAUGUGGAGUUGUUUAGUUAGUUUGUAGAUAAAAUAUCUUGGGACGUGUGCUAACAGCUUGGAUUUGGUUCUGAUCCUUUUUAAAAUAUAUAGUUGUUAGGAUAUUCUCGUUAGUUUAUCUGUCUUAACUGAAACAAUAAAUUGAAUUUUUUGUAAGAUGAAAUUGUUAUUUUAUUUUUUGGUUCAUGUAAGAAUUUUUAAUCAUCAUCUGAACUAUCUAUGUGUAUAGCAGCCAUCUUUUAUAUUGAUUAAAGUGCACGUCCUGUGGUUGUGUCAUAUAGGUGUACCAACUAUGAAAUUAUAUUUUUGGGAAACUAAUCGAUUUAAGUGGUGCAUAGUCUAUUCAAUAUGGGCUUAGCAUCGAUCUAGCAUGCCGACUCGAUUCCUUCUUUAUCUAUCUUUUUCUAAUAAUUGCUCCUUCUCUUUCUCUCCUCUUCCUCACGCCAGCAACAACUGCCCAGCUCCAAUUUUCCUCCAUGAGCCAACUACAGAAGGACAUCUCUAUCUCGUGCACCUCGUCCAACCAAUCCACAGGGAACAAAGCAGCAGCAACAUCUUCUCAAAGUUGGUUACUCCCUGUUCUGCAAGCAGCUACAACACCACCAGUCCCUCGCUUCUCCAAAAACCCAAACAUCAGCAGUCCCUCAAUCCAAUUCGCAACAGUACCAUCAGCUAAUCCAUCAAAUCUAACUUUGAUUCCUCGCUUGAACAGCUCACCUCUCUCCUUUUUUUCUCAACUGAGUACAGCAACGCAGCAGUUUGAGAUCCCUAUUCUUUGACACAAAAUCGUCAAACACGAUUACCUUAUAGUGGGCAUGCCGUGCCAGUCAAAUGUUCACAUGGCAGCCUCCGCGCUAUUUAGUUUUGUCCACUCUGCCAACGAAUUUUUCCCAGUGCACAUGUGGUAAACACAAACUGGGUUGUUUUCUCUUUUAAAUUACUGAUCCCUAACAAUAUAUAUUUUUGCUAUUACAAAACUCUCCUAUGAUCAAAUAGUACCUUUAUUAAUAGACUACAAAUAAUAUUGUUAACUAAUCCUAUCUAUUCUAUUUUCUACUUCUUCCAAGGUGCUUGGGUGCUUUAGUAGCUUUUGAAACUUCGUCCGGACAUCUUCGAUCAAACAUCUGAUUGCAAAUAGAUUUAAGUAAUAUUAUGAGGUUAGUUAACUUGUUUGAAUUUAAAGAUGAAAAUUGUAAUUGUAUUAUACAUAAAUAAUUCUAUACCUAUUGUUUGUAUUUUGCAGGUAUUCUCCUAAUCCUUGUUGACCUGUAUGGAGAUGUUUGCUUAUUGUUCUUGUUGUCUUCGCUUACUUCUUUUACACCAGUUUCAUGCUUGCUCUGCAAAUUUUCUUAUUAUCGUUAUUAAUGCUAAAGAUUAGUAAAGGUCAGACAACAGAUGCGAAUUGAAUUACCUCUUCAUCUGAUACUUUCAUCUUCAUCUCCUUUGAGUCGCCUUCUUGAUUUCUCCUUUUAAAUUUCUGGACACUUUGUGUCUUACUGUCUCCAUCAAACUCAUUUGGUUCCUUCUCCUGCAAAAACUUUAAAAAUAGUAUUAUAUAUCCGGUAACACUAUGAACUAUGAUCUGAUUUCUUCUUAGAGUAUUUGUUCAUCAACAGAUGCGAAUUGAAUUACCUCUUCAUCUGAUAUUUUCAUCUUCAUCUCCUUUGAAUUGCCUUCUUGUUUUCUCCUUUUAAAUUUCUGGGUUCUUUGUGUGUUACUGUCUCCAUCAAACUCAUUUGGUUCCUGCUCCUACAAAAUUUUUAAAAUAGUAUUAUAUAUCAGGUAACACUAUGUAGUAUAAUCCGAUUUCUUCUUAGAGUUUCUGUUCAUUUGUGCAGUAAAAUUCCUAUUAUCAUAAUGUCAUCAUGUUUUUGUAUAAUUUGCAAAUAUUGUUACACAUACAGAAAAGGUUUUUUUUGAGGUAAACGUAUAAUAAAUUUUUAUGUCCAUACCUCCUCAUGGUUAUGCCGUUCAUUUUCUUCAUCUGAAUCUUCUAUUUUACAUAUUCUCUUCCUUGCAUUCGGUCUCUUAGCUUCCAUGCAUUCUUCAUCUGAGUCUAGUACUGUAAUUACAUUUCUUUUUUUGUAUUUCUUCCUUUGGAGGGUCUUCUUGUACUCACUGGCAGUAAAGUUAUCUUCGUUGAGACCCUUUAGCUCCCAGUCAUUGGUGUGUCCUUCCUACCAAAAUAAAAACCUUAUCCAGUAUUGAAGACCUAAUUAACAAAAUAGGAAAGAUGAACCGUUGUUAGUUACAAUACCUGUGUAGUUGGAAUUUUUUUCUUCAUAACUUUUUUGCCUUUUCUUCCUUCUCGGUUAACUUUCUUUGGAUUUGUUUUUAUUCCUUUGCUUGAACCUUGGAUAUCACUAAUAACCAUCUUUGAGUUGUUGCCAUCUUCUUCCUAAGAUUGCAUAAAUUAUUUAAGUGCUAAGGAAGUAUUUACCCAAAUACAAAAAUGACAUUUCUGUUUGUUGAAAUACAGUUGUAGUAGAAGUGUUUGUCUGCAUUACAACUUUUUUGCUUUUCCUUUUCAGCCGAACACCUUUCUUCAGAUGUUUUUUUGACCUUUUGGAUGAACUAAGGUUUUCAUCUCCAAUGACAUCUGAAUUGCUGAUAUAUUCAUCCUAAAAAAGAACUUGUCAAGUGUUAAAAAAAUAUUUAAUAAAAAUAUAAGAGAAUACUUUUGUUUAUGGAGUACCUUUUUUUCUAUGUUUUGUACGGAUAUUUUUCUAUGUUUGCGUUUUUUCUUGUCACUUCUUCUGGCAUCUUCUUUUUCCUAAAAAUUGUGAAUUAUCACAUAGAAGAGUAUAUUAAUAUAGCCUAAGAAUUGAACAUAUAUCAUUUUUUAAUUUAAUUGCAAUAGAGCACUUUCUAAUGCAUACUGAUCAGAUUAGAUAUUGCACUAUCCGCUAUUCCUUUAAAGCUUAGUCAGCCUGCAAUUUUGCAUGAAUAAUAUUUUUUUUGCAUGUACUGUAAAUAGAAUGAACAAUGAGAGGGAAGUGAGUAUACUUUUCUAGCCAAUCUUUCUCCAGUCCUUAUGGCUUUUUGUACGAAUGUUACUUUCUUGGUAAAAGAGUCAUCAGUGUCUACCUCUUCAUUCUCGGUAGUUAUGGUGUAGCAUUUGUCUGAGUUGUCUUCUACUUCCUACAAAUAAUCAAAAAAAAAAUAAAUGUAGGUUAGAAUUUGUUUCAUUGAUAUAGUAAAAUUAUUAAAUAUUAAGGAUUCUAAAGAAAAAAGUGCAAUAAAAACUUAAUAAUAAAGUGUUACCUUUUUUACACUUUGCAUUCCAAUUCUUGAACUACUCUUUUCUUUUAGAAAAAAUAUCUUUGAAACAGUAUAAUCUGGUCUAAAACUUGUCAAGUUGUACUCGGUCAAUCUGAAUUGAAAAAUUAAUGUUUGACCACAUAUUUUUUGAAUUGAUUCUGGUACCUCCUUACUAUCAUGAUCAGCUGAGCUGAUCAUCGAAUCUGCUGAUUCAUUAAUUAUCAUUUCUGCUUCCUUGUCAAAAAGUACACAAGAUGCACUUGUAGUCGGAUCACUUAUUUGAAGCUUAAUUUUGAAUCUGCAAACAUUAUUCUCCUAUGAGAAAUAAAAGUAUUAUAAUGAUAUUGUAAACUACUAAAUAAUUUACCGUGCUUUAGGUUCGGCUCUCUUGUCACAUUUAUUGCAAUAAUAGUGAUCAAACUUCUUUUCAAGUUGCUUCUUACAAUCGCCUCUACUACAUGAGAUGUAGUACCAACCAUAUGUUGCAUUAAUUUCAUUUAUUGUUGCUUCAACAGUAAAUACCUUAUCCUGAAAGUAGGAACAAUACCAUCAUUAUGUAUGUAAGUCUUUAAAUAGUAUAGUGUGUAAUGAACAUACUAAUUCAUACCUGAUUUGAUGCUUCAAAUAAUAUCAAAUUUAAUUCUUCUAAAGUUCUUCUGUUGUACUGCAUUUGGUCUUGCAAUGUCCCUUUUAGAUGGUCCUCAAUAUGAAUCUCUUUGACAAUAUUAUCAAUUGAACUAACGUUUUUUAUCAUACAAAAGAAUGUAUCAUGUUAGAGUGCAUGCAACAUAGAUUAAAAUAGAAAAAUAAUAACUAAUUUUUCUCACCUGUCAUGUGCAUCCUUAGUUUCAGGAAUAGGUAGAUCUACAUAAACUUUUGUUGCAUUGGUUGACGAUAGAGAAUACCCUGAGAAAAUAUCAAUUAUUUAUUUUCCUAGGAGGUUAGUUUGUUGAAUAAUUAAUAUUGGAUAACUCAUAUUGAAUAAAGACUUACUUCCAAAUUUCCUCACAGUUGUAGAUGUUAUUGCGAUGACAUGGGAUUUUGUCUCAUCAUCAACUUCCUCAACUUUGUCUCCCCAAAAUCUAACUUUAACUUCAUGAUCACUACAAAUUUAAAAGUGCAUAAUAAUAAAUAUUUAAAAUAUCUAACCAUGAAAUUAAUUAUUUGUAGGGGCACUAUAGAAGAUAUUUUCUAGUUCAACAGAAGUUCUAUAACAUGCAUGUAAACGUUGAAAGUUUCGUAGUUGUUUACUACAAAAGAAAAGAGAAUUACUCCAUCAGAAGCACAAUAUCACGGAUUUUGGUAAAUCCAAAGUUUGUUCUUGUUUCUUCUAUCGGUCCAAUGUGUGCUGCGACACCUAUAACAUCUAUGAAAUAUAAAUAUGAAUUAUUAUUAGAUGGCUGUCGAAUGAGUGGAAGUGUAAAAAUUGAAAAGCCAGUAAUGGUUUACCUGAUAGGUACAUGUCCACAUUUAUUCUUGAUGAAAGCAUAUCCGUGCUCAUAAAAUUGAAACUAUACUUUGGAAUGUCUUCAGUAUCUUUGACCGUUUUUAGUGUAGUUGUGGGCAAGAAGUUGACUAUUCUGUCAUUUACCACUGGCCGAUACUUCUGGGCUGCUGGUGUGAUUCUGACAUUUGCAAUUGUGUACACAUUGCCUUCUUCAAUCAAUGGUUUGAACUUAUCCAUAUAGGCCUUAUUGAUAACACCGUGCAUCAUGGUUCCCUAAUUUUGCAUCAUCAAUAAUAAUUUGUAAACAAAAAAAUAUACCAAAAAUUGCAAUCAAAGUGAACAUCCAUCAUACCUCUUGAUCAAUAAGGAUCAUGUCAAGACUUAAUUGUUCGCCACUACUGAGUAAGGUUGCAUUCCACAAUCUGGUUACCCUUGCCUUGAUGUUCCACAAUUCCUUUCCCGGUCUAAUUUCAGAUAAAGUUUUGCUCACCAUUGCAACUUGUUGAACUGCAUAAGCAAAAGAUGGUGAUGGAUUCAAUUGGACUAUUUUUCUAUAUAAAAGACAUUAUCUACAAACAUGGAAUUCAGUUGCAUGCUGUACUACUACAACUGGAUCUAUGUAUUGUUGGUUAUUACCGAGUGCCAGAUACUAACAGCUUAAUUUGCAGGUUGGUGGCAAAAUGCAAUCUCUGGAAUGUCGUUGUAAAUAUCUGCAUGUGUUCGACAGUAGCAACUCAAGAUUGUUAUUAUUCCAUAAAAACAUAAAUGAUUGUCGUGAUUGGUCAUACUUAAAUGUAUUAUUUUAAUUUUGAUACAAAGAUGCGAUAGGAAUAACAGUUUGAGAACAAUGGUGAGAAGCAAGUCAUCUAUACCACGUAUGCAGGAGGCCAUACAAUAACAAAUUAUUUAAUAGUACUAAUAUAUUCCAUGAAAAGUUAAUCUAAUUAUAGAAGGGGAACCAAACAAUUUGCAAGCUUGCAUGCGACCGUGCGCAAUGUUACUCCUCAAUGAAAACAAACUCAUAUCUGCCUUUGAGAACAACUGUGAGAAGCAAGUCAUCUAUACCACGCGUGCAACAGGCCAGACAAUAAACAAAUGAUUUAAUAGUAGUAAUAUAUGCUAUGAAAAAUUAAUCUAAUUGUAGAAGGGAAAUCAAACAAUCUGCAAGCUUGCAUGCGACCGCGCCCACGAUGAUAACAAACCCAUCUCGCCUAUAACUCAAUUCUCAUUAUUAGAAGGGAAAUCAAACAAUCUGCAAGCUUGCAUGCGACCGCGCGCACGAUGAUAACAAACCCAUCUCGCCUAUAACUCAAUUCUCAUUAUAUUGAUUAUUUUCCUCUCAUAUGACCAUGGAGAAAGACAUACAGAGAGACAAAGAGAUUACAGUACUGGUAGAUUGGUUAGGGCAUUCAUCUAUGGAGAUUAUUCUAUAGUAGGAUGAUUUAGAGAGAUAUUGGUACCUUUGGUUGAUGGUCGUCUUCCUAUGAGAAAAGACAAAAGACAAACUGAAACCCGUUGGAGCUCAGCGUUCUCGCAAGCUUGGUGCCUGUUGGAAGGAUCGGGAGAGAGAAUCGCCUGCUUCUGAGCGCCGGACUCUAAAUUUCCUGUAUAUAUAAUGGCCAUGCAAACUAAGCUCCGGACUCUGAAUCACCAUUAAGGUCUAAAAAUAUUCUGACAUUCACGUGGACAUUUUAAUCAUGUGCGGCUAAGAGAUAGAUUUAUUGAUGUACGUAAAAGAUAUAUUCUUGCUAACAGAUAGAUUCAUUGAUGUAUAUCUCACGUUCACCUCAUAUUUCACGUCCGACAAUUAAGUCAAAUUACAUGGAGAUAAAGAUUAGGGGUUGCUUUAGUUUAUUUUAUAUAAUGGCAUAGGUGGGUAAUUUAUAUAUAGAUUUAGGGGGUUACUUUAGGUUGUUUUCAUAAUGGCAUUGGUGGGUAAUUUUUUUGAAAACAUAAUAGAUCCAAUGGCUAUGGUGAUUUAAAUCUAUAUAUCGAUGGUCGGAUGCUUUGCUUUUUUGUGAGAAUUUCUAGGAUUUCUCUUUUUUUUUAGAGUGUCCACCUAGGAAUCCUAGGUGGCUUCACCUGGAGGCUUCAAAAGGAGCCUCCAAUUAGUAAUAGUAAGAUUGAUUUUUAUUUCUUUUCCAAAUAACAGCCACCCAAAAUGACUAAAAUGCCCAUAACCACCUCUCUGCUAGCCACUUCGCGCCGUUCCCGCAUCAGUCGCCGCCGCACAAUUUGGUCCGGAGGCGGAGAUCCUACCCUAGCGCUCGGCCGCUUGAGACACCCGCUGGCUGUCGUCGCCAGAUUCAGUCCAGACUCCAGAGGCCGCUAUCCUCCCCUAAGAGAAGGUCAAUAAUAGAGCCAAUAUCUUUGUCUAUAAGACAAGACAUGUCAUCAACAAAUGAUAUUGCAAGUAAGGUGCACAGCAAUGGUCGCUUAACUUACCACCUCAAAACUCUUAUUAAUAUUUCUUUAUUCAGAUUGGCCCACCCAUCAGCACCUAAACAGCUUUGCCACUGCAUGCUGUUUAAUGCUGUUGUUCUUGGCUUCUGUGUUCAGCUUAUUCAGCCGGCUUAUCAGACACCAAACAGUAUUUUUCUCUCACAACAAAUCAGCCGUUUCAGCUUUUCAGCCGGCUUAUAAGCUGAAGCGAACAGGCUAGCGCCAAGCUGAGCACUUUUUUCUUCUCUCUCCUCCACGGCAGCAUGACUACAAUUGUUGUACCUGCUCUAACACCCGGUGCUGACCUCGAGUAGCGCGUGAGAAGAGAGGCGCAUCACCCACGGGCCAGUUGCUACGGGCACGUGUAGGGUCAUGUUUAGUUCACCCCCAACUCCCAACUUUGGCACUAUGCAAAAAGAAGAUUCCCCAUCACAUCAAACUUGCGGUACAUGCAUGGAGUACUAAAUGUAGAUGAAAUUAAAAACUAAUUGCACAGUUUUGUUGUACUUUGCGAGACGAAUCUUUUGAGGCUAAUUAGUCAAUGUUUGGACAAUAAUUCACAAAUACAAACGAAACGCUAUAGUGUGCUACAGUGCCAGCACAGUAAUUUGGCACCUCCCAAUUUGGCCAACUAAACAAGGCUUAGGAGGGCUGCAAAUUGCUCUGUGCAGCCACGCCCCGAAUUGCUGCCGCGUGUCCACCCGACAGAUCCAGCAUCUUGCUCUCAGCUCUACUUCAACCAUCAGCCGAACGCAUGCGGCACGGUUCUCAGCUCUGCUUCUGCACUUGUCUUUCAGUUUUCAUAUUCAAGGAUUGUAUUGGCGGUACAGAAAGUGUUUCAUAUUGAUUUUGGUGAGAAGUGUAUGUAGAAGUAAGAUAGCAGUGAGUUGGCUACGUCCGGAGUAAGGACUAAACUUAAAUCCUAAACAAUCCAAACAGGGCUUAGGCCAUUCAAAAUGAAUCAACUCAUGGGAAUAAAGAAAGGUUAGACAUGUUCUGAAGAUUGGUUUGGUGUUUUGUUCCAGUGGUUGAUUCGGUACUAGGUCCACCAUCAAAUAAAAAAAAAAAAGCCAAACUUCUUCUCUGCUGCUUGCUCAUGAAGGCAUAAGAGGCAUGUGUUCUGCUUUUAGCUUUGUUUAUCCCCUAUGAAUCCAUGCAAGUAUAAGAGUUGAUUCUUUGUCUCUUUUCCAUGAAUCGACUACUUCCAAUGAAGAUGAAUCGGUUCAUCACCUCCACAUCAGACCAUGAAUUGCUUGGAAAGGGCCAAUGGCCUUGUGGGGCUAUGGGUGCCCUAAGCUUUUAAGUUUUGAAGGACUACUAUGACACCAAACAGAACUUGUUUAACCCUAAUAUCAACUAUUUUCCUAGUGAUUUCUUUUUACGAAUUGUCGGCAUGAUUUUUCCAAAAUUUUAUUAGAAAGAGAAAAAAUAAUUGAAAAAAGGGUUUGCUCCCAUCAGCAUAUAUAGUGCCCUAAAACUAAGAAUAAAUUUGUUGGCUGCUGCUGCAAAUUUUCUCAUACUCAAAUUGGCUAUCUAUUGCAAUUUUUUAUUGAUUAGGUUCUUUAUGUAUGAAAUCCGUUUACCUGGAUUUGAAUCCUCGAUUUACCAGGUGCUCUAGUUUUCCUUGAUCUAUUUGAAGGAGUAUCAAUUUGUUUAGAUAAUAUUCUCCCUUGAAAGCAUGCCCACCAUUCACAAAAACCCUGUCAAGCACGGCAACUGUACAUGCUUUCUUGUCGAGAUUGGACGAUACGUACCAAAUGACUUGACCGACCUUGUCAGAGAAAACCUACGAAUGAAUUAUGACCACACAACACAUUCUUGGAAGCGCCAUCAUCACAGAAAAGAGCCAAAUCAGAAGGAAUCUCGUGCUGGUAAACCAUCACCGCCCCAGCUGAAUUUCGACCGCAACGAAACGGCACGAGACAAGUGGUCCAUGAGCCUAGAAUAUCUCCGUUCAAUUUCAGUAGAAAAGUACUCUGGUAUUUUAGGCUGGACACGCCGCAACAAUCUUAUCCAGCUCAAGCAGCGACGUACGGCUGUAGUAUAGAAGAGGAGACGGGCCGGGACCUGAAAAAUGACGGUAGCUGUUAAGUUUGACGGACUCGGGUCUUCGCUACAGAAGCGGUCAAGCUAAGCCAAGGCCAGUAAAUCUGUUUUUAAACCCCGGGGGGCCUUGGCCAGCUAAGCAUCAAAGCUCACAGUACACAACUACACACCACCGUGUCGCAAGUGAAGCACGCUCCGGCCUUGCAGAGGUGCACCAUUCUCGAUCAUCUCUAGUCCUGAUUACUAUUGCUUCUGUUUUUGUCUAGUACUCUGCUGACUUACCUACCAUAUCAGUUUUUUCCGCGUGAAGCGGUAACACCUGACAAAAGUUCAGCCUUUCUGCUUUAAACAAGAAGUAAAAUUUAGAUAUAUUUCAUGUUCGAGCGCACCACAUCCGUAGUUCGAUUGAAUUGUAUUGUUGUCGUCGCUAGAACAUAUUAGAUGCCAUGAACGGGCAUAGUGAUACAGCGAAGCUCCACCAGUGAACGUAGCAUGGCCAAUAUUUACUGUUUACAUUUUUGCAGGUGCCUUGUUUGUCAUGUGUUGCGCUAAGCAACCCGUGAAAAGCAGCAUGCUCUUACUAUUGGUUUGGCUGCUGCUAUCAUAUUUCUUUGGCAAUAUUCAUUGCUCAACUGUCCCCAAGAACAGCACGGACAUGCUUUCACUGCUUGAUUUCAAGCAGGCCAUCACUAAUGAUCCGGGGAAAGUUUUGAGCAACUGGACUGCUAGCACUCCUUAUUGCCAGUGGACAGGCGUCAAAUGUAGCCGGACGCACACAGACCGUGUCGUCGUGCUGGACCUCGCCGGCCACAGUUUGACGGGCACGUUGACAGCUUCACUUGGGAACUUAACGUUCCUUAGGAUACUCAACCUGUCCGUGAAUCACUUCUCUGGUCACUUGCCACAUCUUAACCAUCUCCACCAAUUGGAGGUCCUUAAUCUGAGCAGUAACUCCCUACAAGGGGUAAUUCCAGAUACACUCACAAACUGUUCCAAUCUUAGAAAAUUAUUCCUUGCCUACAACUUUCUAGAAGGUGAAAUUCCACUGAAUGUUGGUCUCCUAUCAAAAUUAUCAACAUUGCAACUUACGAACAAUAGUCUGACCGGAGCCAUCCCACCAAGUCUCAAUAAUACUCUGCUAGAAAAAAUCGGCCUUGCAAAUAAUCGGCUCACAGGAAGCAUUCCAAGUGAGCUUGGAUAUUUGUCAAAUCUGUCAGUUCUGCUUCUCGGCGGCAAUAUGCUAUCAGGUGUAUUCCCAGCAUUCCUACUUAACAUGUCUACCCUAAUUGGGUUACAUUUAGGUAGGAAUUUGCUACACGGGGAGUUGCCAUCUAACAUCGGCAGCGUGUUCCCUAGUCUCCGUAAUCUUGUUCUAAGCAUCAACAAGUUUGAAGGCCAAAUCCCAGCUUCAAUAGGCAAUGUUCCAAAUCUUGAAGUGAUAGAUCUAUCAUCAAACAAUUUCACUGGUCAAGUUCCUAGUUCUUUUGGUAACCUUCUUCAGCUAAAUAAGCUAAUUCUAGAGGAUAACAUGCUUGAAGCACCAGACACCAAAAGCUGGGAAUUCUUAUAUGCCUUGAGAAACUGUAAUCAUUUGAAUGUGCUCUCACUAGCAGGAAAUCGGCUAACUGGAGCUAUUCCAGAUUAUAUUGGCAAGUUGCCCACUGGACUUGCAAAACUAUAUUUGGACGACAACCACCUAUCAGGGUUAGUGCCCUCAAGCAUAGGAAACCUGACUGGCUUGAUUUGGUUGGAUCUAGAUAACAACAAACUUACUGGUACAAUUGGAGAAUGGAUUGGGAUGCUAAAAAAACUACAAUAUCUAGAUCUUAGUGAGAACAGCCUCAAUGGGCCCAUCCCAUCCUCCAUUGGCAAUCUUACGCGGUUAGGGGUCCUAGAUCUAGGACAAAAUGAAUUCACUGGUACUAUACCUACCAGCCUGGCAUACCUUCAACAGCUCAUAGAUUUGGAUUUCUCCUACAAUAAAUUAGAAGGUAACCUACCUUCAGUGGUUUUUAGUAUCCCAACAUUGACCACAUUCGUGCUGUCGUACAAUAAAUUAGAGGGUCCAAUGCCUUCAGAAGUUGGUCAUCUUACACAACUCACUCUACUACUUCUUUCAUCCAACAAAAUCUUUGGUGAAAUUCCUGACACUUUGAGUCAAUGUCAAGAGUUGAAUAUCCUCGAACUGGACAAAAAUUGUCUCACAGGAAGCAUUCCGGUGUCUCUUGGUAACUUGAAGAGUUUGAGCGUGCUUAAUCUUUCCCACAAUAAUUUUUCGGGCUUGAUCCCAUCAGCUAUAGGUGACAUAAAAACUCUCACCUGCUUGGAUCUUUCUUAUAAUCGUCUACAAGGAGAAAUACCAUUCGGUGGAAUUUUUGCAAAUGCAACAGCUGUUUCGUUAAACGGCAAUUCGGGACUCUGCGGAGGAUCUUUGGAUCUGCGCAUGGCCCCAUGUGCUUCUGUUUCAUCUCAGAGAUUUGAAAGACAGUACUUUUUAAUCAAAAUAUUGAUCCCAAUAUUUGGUUUCAUGUCACUCAUACUAUUAAUCUAUUUUGUUCUCGUUGAGAAGAAGAUGUCAAGGCCGUAUUCAUUGCUGCCUUAUUUUGGAGAUAAAUUCCCUAAAUUUUCUUAUAUGGAUCUGGCUGAAGCCACAGGAAACUUCUCUAACUUGGUUGGGAGAGGAAGCUACGGAUCAGUGUACAGAGGGAAGUUGAUCCCUUCUAAACUGGAAGUGGCAGUAAAGGUUCUUGACCUUGACAUUCAUGGUGCAGAGAAAAGCUUCAUAUCAGAAUGCGAAGCAUUGAGGGGCAUUAAACAUCGAAAUCUUCUACCCAUAAUAACUGCAUGUUCGACUGUUGAUAUCACUGGCAGCUCUUUCAAAGCUCUAGUUUAUCCAUUCAUGCCUAAUGGGAAUUUGGACACAUGGUUGCAUCAUAAAGAAGGGAAUGCUUCAAAGUAUCUAAGUUUAAAUCAAAGAUUAAGCAUAGCUGUUAACAUCGCAGAUGCAUUGGAAUAUUUACAUAAUGACAAUGGAAGGACGAUUAUACAUUGCGACCUGAAGCCUAGUAAUAUUCUCCUGGAUGAUGAUAUGACUGCUCAUUUGGGGGAUUUCGGCAUUUCAAGUUUCCAUAUUGAUUCUGUGUCCACAUCAGUUGAGGAUCUAAAUAUGGCUAGUUCAAAAUGCAUUGCUUCCAUCGGCGUGAAGGGGACCAUCGGAUAUAUAGCUCCAGGUAUAUAAUUACUGUUUGUUCGAUUUUCAGCCAGUAAUACGUUGCAUAAGUAUAAUUAAUGAUGUUACAAGAACUGCGUUAUUUAUAUCUACAGAAUAUGGUGGAGGUGGCCAUGUAUCAACAUAUGGGGAUGUUUAUAGUUUUGGGAUUGUACUUCUAGAAAUGUUAACCGGAAAAAGGCCUACAGAUCCUAUGUUCACGAAUGGGCUCAACAUUGUCAACUUCGUCGAGAGGAGCCUUCCAGAUCAGAUAUUCGAUAUUGUUGAUGCUCCAGUCCAGGGAGAAUGUGAGACCUUUGCUCAAAAAGGUGCCCUAGUAGAAAACAGAAUCUCACGUUGCUUGCUGACUCUGCUACAGUUAGCACUUUCUUGUACGUUCCAAUCGCCAAGAGAAAGAGCCAACAUGAGAGAAGUAGCCAGCAAACUUCGUUCGAUCAAGACGUCACAUGCUGGCGCGAAAUUUUUUUGAAGAUGCUGAACAGUGAUUACUGAAAUCAACACGUACGGGCAUGCCCCUCAAUAUUUUAAUGAGUAAAACCCUGUUUUGCUCUCCUACAGUUGUCUGGGAGAUUAAGAAGGAAUAAUUAUGUUACGACCAAAAUUGGCAUAACCAGGAAUCAUUCUGUUGAUACCAAAAUUAUUAGCACAAAGCUUGCUCACUACUGCAGAUGACUUUCGUAUCGGCUCAUACGUGCCCGUCAAAAGGGCACCGAUGCAUCAAGUUCUUUCACACCGGUGCAGAAAACGACAGUGAACAUACUGAUGUAUAGCACACCGGCACGUUUACUUAAUUGUACCGCCGCACGAGUAAUUUCAUAAUCUAACCGGUCUGGACAUAUAAGGAUUGAUUCGCUAAUUAGGGUCUGUUUGGAAAGGGUGCUAAACUUUAGCACCCUAUUUUUAGCACCUUUUUAGCACAUGGGCUCCCAAAUAGGAGUGCUAAAAGUUGUGCGCUAAACUUUAUCACCCCCAUUUUCUUUAGCACACUCAAGGGGUGCUAAAGGGUGUUAAACUUGCUAAAAGUGGUCCUCAUCCAAUUUUUUCCCUGAUUGCCCCCUCUCUCUCUCUCCUUCCUGCCACACCCCUGCCGCCCUCCGCGGGACACGCUGCCUCUGCCCGGCCAUGCCGCCUCCACCGGCCAUCCCUCCCUCCUUCCCCACUCCGGCGCCGCCCACUUCUCCUCCGUGAUUUCCUAUUUCUCAUGCCGGGCGGGAGCUAGGCAGAGCCUAACCUCGCGGGAUCCGGUGCGGACGGCCUCUGUGGCGGAACCGCCCAACUUAAACUGGUUUAAAUGCAUCUAAUCGCUGCCGGAACAGCAAUUAUCCGAAACGCACUUAAAACAGUAUAAGUCCGGUCGUCCGUCGAGUGUCCCUAGGACUCCUCGAAUGAUCCAUGAUACGUCUCAUAGCCAUACACCAGGAUUGUUUCCAUGAUGGGAAAACAUCAACAAAUAUUACAUUUUUUCAUACAUACACGAGGUACGAGUUAUUACAAGACGUAGUUUGAAAUAAACUUAACAGUGCAGGUCAGACAGAGGUUCUAGGAAUUAAACAUAAACGGGUUCAGGUGGGAGAUGAGCAUUCAAAGAUUUCUUCUAAGGGUAUUGCGAGACUCGUAACAAUACCCUAAUUUUUUGGGGCUUCCUCCUCGGUGGACUCCUGCGGUGCCUCUGAAAACAGCCACAAGGGAUAACCCUGGGUACUUAGCAAGGCUUACCCGACUAACCAAUAUAAUAAACUUUCCUAGACUAUAUGACAGCUUUUUAGGUGUACUGGUGGACACACCUUUUUGCCAAAGAGCUUACUAAAAUUUCGUCCUUAGCUUUAUCUUUUAUUACACUUAAGUUAUUACCUAAUUAUUCUAAAUGAUGACAAAAAUAAAUAUUUUGUAAGCAUCAAGAUAUUAAGUCAUACACCAAAACAUUAGUGGAAAGAUAAUGCAUUCGUGAAUUUAUACUACGAUGCUCAACAGUGAUCAAGUGCAUUCAUAACCGAGAAUUGCGGUGAUCCGGAUCAAAUUACAUCCUGCAGGAAAGUACCCUGGUCACCAGUUAUAUACGACUGUCCAAGUCAUAUGUAACGACCUUUCGAUUAUCAAAUCCAAGGAUUGGGAAUAAGACUACCUGGACCCAGGGACGCACCCCCACAUGGGAUCCCACGUCUGGCCUGAUCUCCAUGUGAGUUUCAGGCUACGCCCCUGCCAAUCUCCAGCACAUCAAGCACGGGUACGAAUUAUUCCCGAUCAGAGGGUUUACUAACCUACCAGGCUUUACUGGUCCCAUACCCAGUAAGUAACCAGGUGUCAUUCACUUGAUCAAAGGUUAAGACAACGAUCGGGCCUUAACCAAAUUAAUCUAGCAGACAGAACUACAUCCUUAGCUUCUGUCCGCUUCUUAACUUUCAAGCUAUCUUUCCAUAAUUAGCAUGUAUGACCCAACAUGUUACCUUAAGGUUCGGUAAUCAAGUUACUUAAGCGACUAAGCAUUUCUAGACUUGGUAACUUACUAAAUAUUCGAACAAGUGGCAAAGAUGUCCUUAAAACAAGGUACGAUAAUGCACUAGAAUGGGUUUCAAUCAACUCCUAGACCUAGUGCAUUCAUAUAGAAAAUAACCGAUAAUUGGACACAUGAAAUAAUAACUCCAAAAUAAAUAGGUAUAAUGCACCGGGGCUUGCCUUGUUCUAUAAAAAAGUUAGCACUGUCUGAAGGAUUGGCCUCGCAGGGGACCAACUCAAUAAUCUCUUCGAACUCCGGAGAUCCUUCUGAAAAUUCCGAGAAAUCCUCUUCCGGUGCUUCGGUGUCUAAGAUAAAGCAUAUGCAGGGGUUAGUGAUGCAACUUUUUGAAUACAAGACUAUACAACUUUCCUUCAUGAUAAAGUUGCAAGCCAACAAGGGACUAUACAAUUUAUCAUGAUAAAGUUGCAAACCAACACAUAAAAACCCGAAAAGAUUAACCCACCAUUUUUAUUUCCUUCACUAACCUUACCUAAGGCUCUUUCUUUUAUUUUUAGAAAAUGUUAUAAUUAUUUUCUAGUCUUGAAACCUAAUUUCCUAUGGGUUAACAAUGAUUUGUGAUUAUGAAAAUGUUAUUCCAUAUUUUAUGCAUUUUAAUAAAGAUUAAGUAUUUAUUUAAAUACCUUAAAGAAAAGGCAUUAAACAAAUACCUAAAUUUUUAUUAUUUUUUCUAGGGUAUAAAAAUUUUAAUGCAUAAAAGGAAAAUAAAACAAUCCUAACAAAAUUGGUUUCACUAAUUUUGGACACCCCUAGAAAUUUCUGUAAUUUAAAUGGUGAUAACCGAAUUUAAUCUAUUAUUCUAUAAAAGGAAAUCUAAAUUUUCCCGGAAAAACCUCAGCCUACUUUUCUCACGCACCCUUACCCUACCCCCUCUCUCUUACGCUGGGCCCGCGACUCGGACCCACCCCCUUCUCUUAUUCAUCCUACCCGACGACCAUUUCUCCUCGGCUGGGCCCUACUGGGCCGAUUUCUUCUCUUCUCCUCUUUCCUUUUCUUAAUUUGGCCCAGCGACUCAACCCCUUCUUUUCUUUCCUUCGCGCAUCUUCCGACCUGUCUCACCGGCCUACCGGCCUGCUGGACCUCACGGGCCCCCAACCUCUUUCCUUUACCAACCGCCCACACUGGCACUCGGGUCUACGGGACUUCGGCCCACCUGACGUCUUCGCCCCGCCUGCUUCCUUCCUCCCCUUUCUCCUCUGACGCGUGGGCCCACAAACACCAGAGCCUUCUUCCUUCUCGCGCCAAAACCCGAGCGCGGCAGGGGGCGGCACAGCUCGCCGGCCGGUGCCCCACCGGCGACGGGGCCGGGCUGGGGAAGCAUCCCCAUGCCCUAGUGCACCUGUGCGCGGCGGUAGCUCCCCGGGAGGUGGCCAGAGCCAUCCUCUCCACGGCGGCGGGCGACGGCACUAACGGCCGGCCGUGACUAAGCACGACGACGGCGCAGCCCACCCUUUCGACAACCUCUACAGCUUCCUAGUACCCCAAGGACUCACCUACGACUGUCCACACGGAAAGAGAACGAAGGCAAGGAAUUGCUCACCGUGAGCAGGAGGUGCGGCGGUGGCGGACGGAAACGACGGCGAUGCAGGGCACGCAGGCGGAGAGGCUGGGCAACAAGCUGCUAGGGUUGUUGGUGGGGUGUGAGUGGAGGUGUGGACGGAAGGAAUCGACGAGAGCUGCGGUGUGGUGGAGGAAUUUUGCUCGGUGGCGGCGGCGUGACAGAGAGGGUGGCGGCGUUAAAAAGAACCGACGGUAAACACGGCGGCGGGAGCGGUAGAUAUAUGAAGUUUUUACCGUGCGCAUGGUCGACACCGUGGCCUAGCUAUGGCCUUGCGUGGCGUGGAGGUGGCCUAGCUGUUGAGCUGGACAGCGGGCAGGACCACCGGCGGCGACACGUCAUGCUCAGCUCUGUUUUCUCGUCUCCCCCUUUCUUCUUUCAUCAGAAAGUUCAGAGCCUUUCCACGGCCGAUUUUCAAUCCGACAGUCCACAAACCUCUUAAGCAAAGUUGGAGAUAAUCUCAAACCCUUUGAUUUAUAUUUAAACUUCUACCCAAGAUAAACAUCAAAAGGUUGCCAAAUUUCGAGUUUUUCUCUCAGACCACUGAAUUGCUUCUGAACAUCUUGAUUCAGUUCGACAGUCACCUGAACAUGGUCAUUUACCCAUCUUUGGAAUUAUUUUCAGUGGCCCAAAUCCCUUCUUUUUAAUCCAACUACUAACCAUUCAUACUCUACAACCAUCAGGGGUUCCAUUUUGCUCAUAAACACCCCUACUUUCUGCACUACAUUUUUCUAAAUUUUGCUCCAAACUCGGGAUCUUGCUCCAAAAUGACAGUUUCAGCAGUCCAGUCCACCGUGGCAAAGUGCUGACUUUGAGCUAAAUUUUAAAUUUACUCCCUUUACUGUUCUUGAUCAACAACACCCGAAUAUACUUGUCCAAAGUUCAUACUUCAUCACUGUAUAGUUGCCUUGGUCCACUUAUUUGGAAAAUUUGGCAGAAAUCAAUUUCAAAAAUGGAUACUUGCACUGUUUUUCCGAAAAUCCAUUUUCGGACAGUGAACAGUACACUCCUGUUUUAAAUUUUUCCAUUGCUUUUCUUGAGAUGUUUAGCACUAAAUUUAGUCCCCAAUCUUGAUUCCAAAGUUCUAAACACUCUCAAGCUUCCAUUCCAUAUUUUUGCCCAAUUUUUCUGAAUUUAGAAUUCAAAAUUCAAAUUUCGGUCAAAUUUGACUUUUAGUCAGUUUCUUCUCUUUUUCUCCAUAAUUCACCUUUAACUUUUCUUAAUCACCUUUGAUGACUUAAAACACCAGGUGUUACAGCCUCCGGCAAUCAGCGAUGGCGGGUGGAGCCCCGGCUUGGUGGCGUUGCGACGAGCCGUGGGGACUGCGCUAGGCCGCCGCCGUCGAGCCACCCGGUGGAGACGAGCGGCCGCUGGCAAGGAGGUGGACACGACGAGUUGGGGUGAGUCGCCGGGAGCAUGCUCGGCCUCGCCACCAUGGGGAAGCAGCAGAUGCCUCUGCCGCGGGGUGAGGCGGCCUGGGCGGAGCAGGGGCCGCAGCUAAUCACGGGCGAGGAGGUCGGGGUGGAGGACUAGGGUGGAGCUGGGCCGCUGCGUCGACGGGGGCUGCCGCAGCGGGGGCCGGGACGGGGACGGGAGGCGGGGGUCGUGCGGGGGUGCCGGGCUGACGGCAUCGGCGGCGCCUGGCCGUGCAGGGGUGCCGAGGCCGGUGGCAUCGGCCGCGCUUGGCCGUGCGGGAGCGGCGGCAAAGGGAGUGGGAGAGGAGAUGCGCGAGGUGGGGUGAAGGAGGGGAGCUCGAAGAGGAGGAGGAAGAGGGGUAGUGCGCCAACCAUAAAUGAGGGGCGCUGUUGUCAUUUGCCAUCAAAUGUGCUAAAGUUUACCACACUAUCCAAACAGCUCAAGGUGCUAAACUUUAGCCCUCCAUUUGAGGGUGCUAAACUUUAGCACUGAAGUUUAGCACAAGGUUCCAAACAGGACCUUAGUUAAAGGUAGCGGAUUGAGUUAGAACCAUCUAGGUUAUCCUCCGCACCAAACCCUACUAGCACGUUCUAGAUUAGCGUGUCAAUUUAAUAAGAAGGAAGUUCAAGCUUCAUAUCCUUCCACUCUGUAUAUUUAAAUGCCUGACCACUCAAGUAUCUGCAUGACCUACUCGCACUCUAUGUGUCUCUCUCUCCAUCUCUGUGUUUCUAUUACCCACCAGCCUAGCUAUAACGGAAAUGUUCGUCUCUCGCCACAUCUUGCAACAUUUUAACAUCUAGGAUGGCGAUUGCGUAGUCGAUCCUUUUGGUUACCACAAGCAUGUCCAUUGGCAUGUGCCUAGCCACAUAUAAAAACUGGAAGGUCUACAUCAAAAGCUUCCUUCUCCUAAGGACGUGGCAAGGUCCAUGACCACUCCUGGACGUGGUGGGAUGAGUAGUGAUGUUCCGCCGCGUCAAGAAGCUCGUCAUCAACGAGGCCUACUCUCAGCUUCUUGAGACCGGCCGUGCGUGUAUGUUAUUUUAGUUACUUUGAUGUCAGUCUAAAUUUCGUGAUGUGGACGUGUGUAAGUAACAAGAUCCCGUUAGGCUAUAGUUUGUGAUUUUAGUAACUGAGUGACAACAUAGUCAUUGGGAUUAAUGGUUUGUCAAUCAUGUACCUUGAAGGUUUUAUAGGUCCCAAGAAUGCAAACUAAACCAUGGCAUGAUCCAAAUGACGAUAUUUUCUGUGCUCAAAUGGCGGUAUUCAACUCAGAAAAAUUAGUAGCACUGGAUAAUCUGAUGGUGCAUUGGAGCAACCAUUGGACUAACCAUUGGAGCAAUUAUUACAAUGGGAAAGGUAGGGAAAAACUUGCAGCAAGCACUGGAUGAUCCGACGGUGUAAUUUUUAGUAGCAUUGGAUGAAUUCUGAAGCGAAGGCACGGAAGACUGAAGCAUCGGAUGAUCCAACGCCUAUGUGGAGGUGACUGUUGGACCAAGCAUAUUUACUGUUUCAAUGCCCAUCGGAUGAAGCGUCGGAAUAAUUUUGGGCGGGGGCCAACGGCUACUUGCAUCAGUAGAUGAUCGGAUGCCUACCCAAAGAGACCAUCGGAUCAUCCGAUGAUCAUAGCUUAGCCUUUGGAGCAACAGCUCUUUGAGGUCCUUGGACUAUUUAUACCCCCUCUACUCGCCCAUUUUGAAAUUAUUGGAGUGUCCAGGAGUGUAAGACAAAAACUCAUCAAGAAUACAUCCAUGCUAGCAAAAGUGAUAAUUCAAGAUUUAGCACAAGCUUAAAAGAGUGAUUAGUGAUAGGAUAGGCCUAGAGAGAGUGAGUGCAAGGUGCUGCUACCUUGUAAUUUGUUCAAGGAGUGAACCACCAUUGUAAGCCUGGUGUGCCUGCACCUUGGGGCCUUGGUGGCUCGUCGGCAAAUCUUCAACCCUCCAGCUUGGUGUGGAGUGGCGAUGACUGUGUGCAGGCGAUGAGGAGACCCCUUCCUUCGUGGAGAAGCUCCGUAGUAGAGAUAGCGUCAAGGUGAUCGGAAGAAAGGAAGUGGUGAGCCUUGCCGUCAAGCUUCUCAUCUGGCUUGGCGAGAGCCUUUGUGGCGAGCUCAAGACCUUUGACCGAGAGAGAGUUGGUGACCGGGAGCAUAUCCUUGGUAGAGCUUCAGCAUGAACUAGGGGUGGCAUUUUCCUACCAAUACCACGGGAUAAAUCACCGUGUCGAGUUUGCAUCCUUCCUAACCCACUCAUUUACGUUUUCACAUUUCAUACUUGCAACUUGAGUACAUGUACUUUCUAGAGUAGUAUCUUGAUAGGAUUAAUUGGCUCUAGGUUGCAAAAUUCUUUGUGAGUGGGAAGUUUUUCACUACAUCAACAAUAGUUGCACAUCUAGAUAGCAUGAUCUAUUUUAUAUUUGAUGCUUUGAAGUGGAAACCAUAGGUCAAGAUUUUAAGUUUGCCUAAUUCACCCCUCCCCCUUUAGGCUACGAGCACCGAUUCCUUUCGAUGUGGAACAACAUGUACUGAUAUUUAGUGUAAUAAAAUUAUUCGCUUGUGUUUAUUAAGUUUUCGAAUUUUGUUUCUUAUUUAAACAACAUUCUAACCGGUCUAGAAUCGAGCUGCUUAGAAUGAGUUCCUGCACUUGUAUUAAGUUUUCCUACUCCUCUGCCGCUCGCCGCUUCUCCCCCGCUCCUCCUCCUCUAAUGUAAAUGGUGUCAUCUGCGGAACAGGUGGCCAAGGCAGCGGCAGCUUUGGCGACCACAGUGACGUGCCUCGCUGAGGCCAUGGCAUGCACGGUGGUUUCCGCAACCGCGAGAGAGGUGGUCCUCCGCUCCCUUGCCGUAGCCGCCACCGGAUCUGCAGCCAUCCUGACUGGAUCCGCAACAGAGACGCAGAAGGCCCUUGCAUCCUCCACCCGUGCCAUCGCAGAUGCGGCCGCAGUGGUCGUGGGGAGGUAGGCCACACUGGUGGCAGGGAAGGUUCGUGCUCGCGCGGCCUUGGAGAGCCAGCUAUGCCUCCCCUUCGACCAUAACCUCCAUCGCAGUGGUGGUGGCAGGCGGUAGGGCGGCCGGUGCUCUUAACCUUUCUUUAUCUCCUAAGGGGGGAAAUAUUUCUUUAUUUGUCAUGGGGCUUUUUUUUCGAAAUAUAGACGCUCACAUAAACACACUCACACUCAUCACUAUGAAUACACGCAUGCAACCGUACCCUUGUGAGUACCUUCGAGAUACUGAGCUGGUAUAUUCUUGAGAUUGACGAAGUUACAACUGGCGUCUUGCUGUUGACGGGUACGUUACCUACCACUGAAAUAAUAGUGCUCGUUAAGUUUUAGAAUAGAUCUAAGAAAAUACGAGCAUCGAUGUCGAGUCGAGUAUUCGAACUAGGGUGAAUAAGUUCCGCUAUAAGCUGUGCUCAGUUUCUGCCACGGAGCUUUUCAGUAGCCGUGAAAGACAAGCAUUGAACCAUGACGCAAAUAAUUUGUCUCGCACAGCUAGAUCUACCAACGGCUAAAGCAAAAAAAAAAAAAAGCUUUGACGGUUUCAAAUGCUUCCACGUGGUUGCGUGCACGUGUCUGCGGAUCUUAUUAGUAAAAGCCAACAAUUUGUAUAGGCACAAAGCGUCAAAGCCCAUGCAACCUGUACUUAUUUGAAUCAAUACAUUGAAGUUUGUUAGAUUAAGUCGUAAUUAUGAGAUGGACAUAAAAAUAUGAGAUGGACAUAAAAAAAUAAUUUCUGCCUCCACCCGUUGUGCACCAGCAGUCCGGCACUAUAUAUAUGAAUAUUAUGUCGAAGGUUUCAGUAUGUUAUCUCUCAAGCGGGCCUGCUCAUCAAGUGCUCAACCACCUCUGUUCCAGAAAACACCGCUCCUUUUCUCAGUAGAACUAGCAAGGCAUGGCUAACCACCAUAAGCGUUGUCCCUUAACCAGUGCCUUCGUCUUUAUUCUCUCUUACAUUGUUCUGAUAGCAUCAGUAGAGUCAGCAAGGCCAGGAUUGUCUUACAACCAACAUUCUCCUACAUACCCACAGAUGCACGACUUCCAAAAUGAACAGCUUUUCCACGCGUAUUUCGUCAUUCAGAGCUUCAAAAAUACCGUCACAUGCGAUCCUAGGAACAUCACGUCAACCUGGACCGGCCCUGACAUCUGCGGCAAAAGGAGCUACGUGGGCUUCUAUUGCGCGAGAAAGCAGGGACCCGGUAGCAACCUCACGGUGACUUCAGCCAUUUUCAAUGGCUUUGGCCUGUGUGCGCCAAUGCUUCGAGGCUUCCUCGACCAGCUUCCCGAUCUUGCUCAUUUCCAGGCUACAUCUAACAAUUUUGGUGGUGAUGUCCCCAGCCUUGCCGGCCUGACGGAGGUGUCCAACGUUGAUGCCAACGGUAGGCGUAAACAAAAUAGAGAGGGAUCACAGAGCACUACAAGUAUUGAGAUAGAUAAUAUCGGAGUAACGGCAAAAACGAUGGGUGACCUAGUUCACGCAAUCACGCAUCCCUUUGAGAAUAGUAUUUCAGCACACUUACCCAAAAACAACUCAAGCCCUCGAGCCUCCUUUGCGCCGCCUUCCUCAUUGAGCCCAAGCACCGAGAGGCUUGGAUUUCCAAAGAUGAACUACCUCGCCCUCGCCAACAACAAGCUCACGGGUCCAAUUCCACCAUCAAUCGCAGAGGCACAAGAUACUCUCCUCGAGGUACUAUUCCUGAACAACCAGCUCUCCGGCUGCCUCCCUAACGAGCUGGGCAUGCUCCACAAGGCGACCGUCAUCGACGCCGGCAUGAACCAGCUCACCGGCCCGAUCCCUGCAUCCUUCUCGUGCCUCAGCAGCGUCGAGCAGCUCAACCUGGGCGGGAACCGCCUCUACGGCCAGGUGCCCGACGCGCUCUGCAAGCUCGCCGGCCCAGCCGGCCGCCUCGCCAACCUCACGCUGUCCGGCAACUACUUCACCUCCGUCGGGCCGGCGUGCGCGGCGCUGAUCAAGGACGGGGUGCUGGACGUGAAGAACAACUGCAUUCCGGGACUUGCCAACCAGAGGCGCCCGGUGGAGUGCGCGGUGUUCCACAGCCAUCCG
RNAcentral lists this long non-coding RNA (30558 nucleotides) under Setaria italica (foxtail millet). RNAcentral's name for it is "long non-coding RNA (SITA_LNC000565)". The record is from RNAcentral. Lineage: Eukaryota; Viridiplantae; Streptophyta; Magnoliopsida; Poales; Poaceae.